AUCGUACGACGAGUUUGGAUCAUGGCUCAGAACGAACGCUGGCGGCAGGCCUAACACAUGCAAGUCGAGCGAACCCUUCGGGGUUAGCGGCGGACGGGUGAGUAACGCGUGGGAACGUGCCCUUUGCUACGGAAUAGCCCCGGGAAACUGGGAGUAAUACCGUAUGUGCCCUUCGGGGAAAGAUUUAUCGGCAAAGGAUCGGCCCGCGUUGGAUUAGGUAGUUGGUGGGGUAAUGGCCUACCAAGCCGACGAUCCAUAGCUGGUUUGAGAGGAUGAUCAGCCACACUGGGACUGAGACACGGCCCAGACUCCUACGGGAGGCAGCAGUGGGGAAUCUUAGACAAUGGGCGCAAGCCUGAUCUAGCCAUGCCGCGUGAUCGAUGAAGGCCUUAGGGUUGUAAAGGUCUUUCAGUGGGGAAGAUAAUGACUGUACCCACAGAAGAAGCCCCGGCUAACUCCGUG
This 462-nucleotide ribosomal RNA is filed under the name uncultured bacterium. RNAcentral's name for it is "bacterial SSU rRNA". It matches the Rfam family "Bacterial small subunit ribosomal RNA", at positions 1 to 507 of the family's 1533-position model. The record is from RNAcentral.